GAUGAACGCUAGCGGCAGGCUUAAUACAUGCAAGUCGAGGGGCAGCAGGGUGUAGCAAUACAUCGCUGGCGACCGGCAAACGGGUGCGGAACACGUACGCAAUCUUCCCAAAACUGAUGAAUAGCCCUCCGAAAGGAGGAUUAAUACAUCGUAACAUAAUGAAGUGGCAUCACUUUAUUAUUAUAGCUCCGGCGGUUUUGGAUGAGCGUGCGUCUGAUUAGGUAGUUGGCGGGGUAACGGCCCACCAAGCCUACGAUCAGUAACUGGUGUGAGAGCACGACCAGUCACACGGGCACUGAGACACGGGCCCGACUCCUACGGGAGGCAGCAGUAAGGAAUAUUGGUCAAUGGGCGCAAGUCUGAACCAGCCAUGCCGCGUGCAGGAAGAAGGCCUUCGGGUUGUAAACUGCUUUUGUACGGAACGAAACGGUCCUGGUUAAUACCUGGGGCUAAUGACGGUACCGUAAGAAUAAGCACCGGCUAACUACGUGCCAGCAGCCGCAGUAA
Molecule: ribosomal RNA, 507 nt
Filed under: uncultured bacterium
Lineage: Bacteria
Description: partial 16S ribosomal RNA
Rfam family: Bacterial small subunit ribosomal RNA
Source: RNAcentral